CGUGCAGGCGGCUGGGUAAGUUGGAUGUGAAAUCUCCUGGCUCAACUGGGAGAGGCCGUUCAAUACUACCUGGCUUGAGGGCGACAGAGGGAGGUGGAAUUCCGGGUGUAGUGGUGAAAUGCGUAGAUAUCCGGAGGAACACCAGAGGCGAAGGCGACCUCCUGGGUCGUACCUGACGCUGAGAUGCGAAAGCUAGGGAGCAAACG
RNAcentral lists this ribosomal RNA (206 nucleotides) under uncultured bacterium. RNAcentral describes it as "partial 16S ribosomal RNA". It matches the Rfam family "Bacterial small subunit ribosomal RNA", at positions 568 to 774 of the family's 1533-position model. The record is from RNAcentral.